UACAGAGGGUGCGAGCGUUGUUCGGAAUUAUUGGGCGUAAAGGGUGCGUAGGCGGUUUGGUAAGUCUUAUGUGAAAUCUAUGGGCUCAACUCAUAGACUGCAUGAGAAACUGCCGGGCUUGAGUCCGGGAGAGGUGAGUGGAAUUCCCAGUGUAGCGGUGAAAUGCGUAGAUAUUGGGAGGAACACCAGUGGCGAAGGCGGCUCACUGGACCGGAACUGACGCUGAGGCGCGAAAGCGUGGGGAGCAAACGGG
This 253-nucleotide ribosomal RNA is filed under the name uncultured bacterium. Its description in RNAcentral is "partial 16S ribosomal RNA". It matches the Rfam family "Bacterial small subunit ribosomal RNA", at positions 524 to 776 of the family's 1533-position model. The record is from RNAcentral.